Molecule: long non-coding RNA, 581 nt
Organism: Capsicum annuum
Lineage: Eukaryota; Viridiplantae; Streptophyta; Magnoliopsida; Solanales; Solanaceae
Exons: 3
Source: RefSeq, a predicted model, not a curated record
UCUCUCUUUCUUUGUAACUUUACCUUUUCUCUUUCUCUUUUUUCUUUCAAAUCUCUCAAAUUUCACUUUCAAAUUUUUUUUUCCUCACAUUUUUCUCAUAUUUUUUAUAAGGAUUGUGAUCCACAAAAUCAGGAUAAUCGGAGUUGAAUGAAUAUUGUAGAUGAUUUUGGGUUGAUUUGUUGUUGAAGAAGACAUGGAAGAAGAGGGAUUGUGGUUUGUAUAUGGUUACAUACGCAGAGUUCCUUUCGUAUGGUCAAGGCAUUCCUUCAGUUGAGUUCAAUCCCAACGUAUUUCGUACAAGAUAUGCUUCACUAUUGUGAAAUUACAUCAUGAGGAAAAAAGAAGAAAAAGCUCAAAGUGACGACGAAGCGUCAUUGAGGCCUGUUAGAAAAAGUAAGAUAACUAGUGUCACAGAAGUAUUAGAAAUCUGAUGGUUGAUGGUUUUAUUACAUUGUAUAAUUGACAAGAUUUAACUUGAUAUUGAUAUUAAUUGUAGAAACUUAUUUUAUGUUUUGAAGUGAAUCAAACUUACUUAUAUUUGAAGUGAAUGAAAGUAAUUCACUUUAGUCUUUUAUGUUGAA